AAUACCUGAAUGUGGACAUUUUCUAAUCAGCUCUUUAAACCGCUCCCACGCCUCGUGAAACUCUUCAUUUGGUUUUUGGGCAAACAAUAAAAUUUGAGUUCUCAUAUC
Molecule: small nucleolar RNA, 108 nt
Organism: Malus domestica (apple)
Lineage: Eukaryota; Viridiplantae; Streptophyta; Magnoliopsida; Rosales; Rosaceae
Source: RefSeq, a predicted model, not a curated record